RNAcentral lists this transfer RNA (76 nucleotides) under Gimesia panareensis. RNAcentral describes it as "Planctomycetes bacterium Enr10 tRNA-Asp". It matches the Rfam family "tRNA". From Rfam's summary of the family: Transfer RNA (tRNA) molecules are approximately 80 nucleotides in length. Lineage: Bacteria; Pseudomonadati; Planctomycetota; Planctomycetia; Planctomycetales; Planctomycetaceae. The record is from RNAcentral.
GUCCUCGCGGAGUAGUCUGGAGUGCUCACCUGGUUGUCAACCAGGAGGUCGUGGGUUCAAAUCCCACCGGGGACGC